Molecule: long non-coding RNA, 1451 nt
Filed under: Ananas comosus (pineapple)
Lineage: Eukaryota; Viridiplantae; Streptophyta; Magnoliopsida; Poales; Bromeliaceae
Description: long non-coding RNA (ACOM_LNC012322)
Source: RNAcentral
GUUAAUAUGAAAACCUGGGUUCGUUUUUAAGUAAGACUUUAAUACGUUUGGUUCAUAAUUGAAAUAGAAAUGAAAAAUAAAAUUGAAUUGCUUUGCAAUGGAAAUUGAAAUGACGGAUUAAUUAUUCAAAGAUAUUUGGUUCAUUAUUGUAAUGAAAAUCGAAAUGAAACUCUACGACUUUUUUUUUUUUCAGAGAGAAAGGUGGCAUGCUACCCGUUUCGUUUAUUUCAUUUAGAAAUAAACUUAGCUAGAAAUGCGAAUCAACUAGGAUUCGAACUUGGGAUCUCGAGUACUAACGACCAAGCCCUUAGAAACUCUACGAUUUUGAAAAGGAGUUUUGAUUAAGGGAGAUAAAAGGAAGAGGAUGGACGUAUUUAUGAGAGAGGAUUUUGUGUAACUUACUUUGGAAUGGAUUAAUCCGUGAUUCAAAGCUGGAUUAACUGGGUCAUAAACAUAUUUGGUCAUUUUCAUUUCAAAGUGGAAUAAGAAUCGAAAUUCGAUUCAUGUAAAACAAACAACAACUAUCAAAAUCAAUAAAUUUUAUUUCAAUUUUAUAGUCUAAAAUAGUAAACCAAAUAUGUCCUAUCAGAGUUUUGCAUGCGAUCAAUCAAAAAUAUCUUCUUUUUUCUUUUUUGAGAGAGAUAGGUAGCACGCUACCCGCUUCAUUUAUUUCAUUUAGAAAUAAACUUAGCUAGAAAUGUGAAUCAACUAGGAUUCGAACUUGGGUCUCGGCUACCAACCACUAAGUCCUUUGCCACUUGCUCUAGGGACGGUGGAUGAUCAAUCAAAAAUAUCAAAUAAUAAAUCAACAGUAAAGAAAUAUUAAUGAUAGAACAAAAUAUUAAAUUUUGAGAAAACUUCAAAUACCAUCUCUGUGGUCGCAUUUUUUCAUUUUAGUACCAUGUGAUUUAAAGUGUAUCAAUUUAGUACCAUGUGGUUUCACACUUUCUCAUUUUAAUACCCUGUGGUUUAAAAUGCAUCAAUUUAGUGCUCUGUAGUUUUAUUUUUCUCUUUUCGCCGGCUCCUCUGUUAAUAUUUCAUUAAAUUAUAUACAAAAAACUUCAGAUACCCUACUUAGGUUUAUCGAAUAAUUACUUUAGUAUUCUUUAGUUUUAACUUUGUCACUAAUUUUUUUCCUCCGUUAAUAUUUCGUUAAAUUAUAUACAAAAAAUCUUCAGAUACUCUAUCUAGGUUCAUCGAAUAUUCACUUUAGUACCUUUUAAUUUUAACUUUGUUACUAAUUUAACGAAAAAAAAUAGUAAAAUAAAUAAUAAAAAGAGAAAAAUAAAACCACAUAGUACUAACUUGUUACACUUUAAACCACAAGGUACUAAAGUGAGAAAGUACGAAACCACAAAAACUAAUUUGAUACAAUUUAAACCACGGAGUACUAAAGUGAGAUAGUGUGAAACCACCCGACGGUAUUUGAAGUUUACCCUUAAAUUUUCAUU